CCCAGAAGCCAUAUCACCCUACAACUGAAGCUAAGCAGGUAUGAGCCUGGUCAGUACCUGGAUGGGAGACCUCCUGGGAAAAACUAAGGUUGCUACUGGAA
Molecule: ribosomal RNA, 101 nt
Filed under: Lepisosteus oculatus (spotted gar)
Lineage: Eukaryota; Metazoa; Chordata; Actinopteri; Semionotiformes; Lepisosteidae
Source: RNAcentral